Molecule: non-coding RNA, 72 nt
Organism: Tieghemiomyces parasiticus
Lineage: Eukaryota; Fungi; Kickxellomycota; Dimargaritomycetes; Dimargaritales; Dimargaritaceae
Source: the annotation of a GenBank genome assembly
UCCGAUAUGGUCCAACGGUUAGGAUCCCACGCUUUCACCGUGGUGGUCGGGGUUCGAUUCCCCGUAUCGGAG